This 484-nucleotide ribosomal RNA is filed under the name uncultured bacterium. RNAcentral describes it as "partial 16S ribosomal RNA". It matches the Rfam family "Bacterial small subunit ribosomal RNA", at positions 28 to 523 of the family's 1533-position model. The record is from RNAcentral.
GAUGAACGCUGGCGGCGUGCCUAACACAUGCAAGUCGAACGGACUUACAUUGAAGCCUAGCGAUAUGUAAGUUAGUGGCGGACGGGUGAGUAACGCGUGGGUAACCUGCCUUGUACUGGGGGACAACAGUUGGAAACGACUGCUAAUACCGCAUAAGCGCACAGCUUCGCAUGAAGCAGUGUGAAAAACUCCGGUGGUACACGAUGGACCCGCGUCUGAUUAGCUGGUUGGUGAGGUAACGGCCCACCAAGGCGACGAUCAGUAGCCGGCCUGAGAGGGUGAACGGCAACAUUGGGACUGAGACACGGCCCAAACUCCUACGGGAGGCAGCAGUGGGGAAUAUUGCACAAUGGGGGAAACCCUGAUGCAGCAACGCCGCGUGAGUGAAGAAGUAUUUCGGUAUGUAAAGCUCUAUCAGCAGGAAAGAAAAUGACGGUACCUGACUAAGAAGCCCCGGCUAACUACGUGCCAGCAGCCGCCGUAA